UGGUGGAGUGAUUUGUCUGGUUAAUUCCGUUAACGAACGAGACUUCUGCGCUUUAUUACAUAAAGCGGACUGUCGGUGCUGAGCCGAUGGAAGUUGGAGGCGAUAACA
This 108-nucleotide ribosomal RNA is filed under the name uncultured eukaryote. Its description in RNAcentral is "partial 18S ribosomal RNA". It matches the Rfam family "Eukaryotic small subunit ribosomal RNA", at positions 1299 to 1458 of the family's 1831-position model. The record is from RNAcentral.